Long non-coding RNA from Corvus hawaiiensis (hawaiian crow), 2810 nucleotides. RefSeq lists it as uncharacterized. The transcript is spliced from 2 exons. The record is from RefSeq and is a predicted model, not a curated record. NCBI's taxonomy places the organism in Eukaryota, Metazoa, Chordata, Aves, Passeriformes, Corvidae.
CCCUGCCCGAGAGACCCCGCCAAGGGCCACAGCCCCUCCUGCUCGCCCUCCUGACCCAGGUACACAUGACACGAGCCGCGUGGGUGAAGAUUAACCUUUAUUACCAGACUGCAUCGAUCUUGUGGACAAAAAGGGCACCCUGAUGAAUCUGACCAAAGUGGAAGAUCCUGCAUCUGAAUUCACCAGUAAAUACCUACAGGAAAGGCAGCACUACAUCCUCAUAAGAGCUGUCCAAAAGUUCCUUGUCGAGACAGCACAGCUCAGCCUCUGGGCCAAGAAGGGUCUGCUCUGGGGGGAGGCUUGGAGAGGGGCUCUGUUCAGCAGUCACUUGGACACAGCAAGAAGCUCCAAGGAGGCAGAAGCUAGCUCAGAUGAAGCACUAGAGCUGAGCCUUUGUUUAUCCAAGGGCUGCUCCAGGGAAGAAGGAACCUUUCCUGGGCAGAACCACCUGCCCCAGUUACAAGCCUUCAGUUUGCAGCCAGGAGAGAGACCAAUCCAUUUCUCCCAUUCUGCUGGCAGAAGAAAACUCUGAAGCCACCUGCUACGAAUCCUCACUAGAGGACCUGGGGAAACACUACCCUGACCUACCAGGUAAGAGCAAGACACCCACCUCACCUCCAUAAAGGAGUCAGGCGUGCAGCAUGACUCCUGUUCCCACUUCAGCCCUUGUACAGCACCUGUGGGACUGUCCUCUGAUCCCACUGUGCUCCUUCAGGGCUGCUUAUGGCUGUGGGCAGCGAGUGCAUUCAGGCAGCAGGAUCCCUCCUAGUUAAGAGUGACAGCAGGGACCUGCUGCCCUCCCACCCCACACCAGGCAGAGGCCUACCCAGCUUGUCCCCUGGCAAAGAGGGCCAUUUCCGUGGAACAAACAGGGAGGGAAGGACAUCAGGAGAGAUUGGGAAACUCUCAAGUGUCUCUCCCAGGCUGUAGUCCCACAGGUUGGCAGUGCCUUGCUCAACAUGUAAUGGGCAACUGACCAACACAGCAGGAAAACACAACUCUGAAAGGGCUUGGUUACUCCACAGAUCAUCUGCAACAGCCCUUAGGAAAGACCCAGAGGAGGAAGGGCUCCUUACAGAGGAGGGCUCAGCCCCACACCAGCUCCCGAGCCAGGAACAGAAUCACCUUACAGAGCAGGAGGAGCUUAGAACUCAAGAACACCCCUAAAUGAGGAACAGACCCAUUACUGGUCACACAGGCAAGCACAGCCACCACCAGGGUCCAACCACCUGCCCAGGCACUUAUUCCCAGCACAGCAAGAGUCCCCUGCUACUGAGCCCCUCUUCCUGGGAUCCCCUGCUCCUCCCAGAGGUUCACACUACCACAUCCCAAGCUGCACCCUGACAAACCAGGCAAACCCAGCACCACAGCCAGGCACAAGCAGCAUCCUCCUGCUUCAAGGUGGUCUCAUGUUCCCAUGGCAUGGCCUGCACUCCCCAGUGACAAGAACCUGCAUCUCCUUUCAACCCACCUGCACAGCAGCAGGCAGAGGAACAUGCACCCACCUGUAUCAUUGGAUGGGUCUGCUUCCCACUCCAUCACCAGUCUGAAAUGGCCCUGCAGGGGCCAUCACUACAAUCACCAGGAAAAGCUGCUACAGAGACAGCCAGUCCCCACAAAUGCAGAAGCAGUGCUUUUGCCAAGAUGGGUCAAAGGCAGAACACACCUGAUGCGGCUGCUCUGCUGGCUCUCCUUAACAGCUUCUCCAGCCAGACCAGCACAACACCCCCACAUCAACAUCAGUCUAAUACUUACUUCUUAAAGGGACUUAAACAACUUUGGAGUGGUUCCUCCCUGCACACACAGGACAGCUCAGCACAUGGAGCACUUGGGCGUUUCAUCUCUGGCAUCUUUUCCCUUGGCUGUCUCUCAGGAGAACACAAGACUCCCCUGAUACAGCCAGGCACAGCUCAGGACAUCACCUACCAAGAACUUGAGAUAGUAGCAUUUAGAAGGGGCAGGACUUUCAAACACCAGCCUCCAGUAUCUGCUAAAAGCAACUGCUGCCAGCAUUUACCAUCAAGACCUGGAUUUCCUCAUAGAUCCCAGCAAGGGGCUGAGAACUUGUCCAUUGUUCAAGAGUCAGAGAUUAAAAGGUUAAAAUACUCAUUCUGCCAAGAAAAUGCAUCAAUUAAGCCUCUGAAAGUGUCCUGGUUUCACUGCUGUGCCACUAAAACUCCACCUGAAGCCUCAAAAUUCCCUUUUACACCAAAGUUAAAAAGAGGGUGUCCUGCUGGAGGCCAGUCUUUGGGCAGCAAUCACAAGGCUGUCCUGCCAAGGUGACUGUAAGAGGAAAGCAGCUCCACACUUCACCUGAUGCCAGUGACCUUGAGAACAUUGCAUAACCUGCUAAAGCUUUGAAGUCAGAUCAGCCAACUGUAUCCAAGUCCCACAGCCAGACAGGUCACACUCUCUUAGCUCUGAGGUCAGGACAGGUAUUCAGGAAGAGGAUAUCUAUAGAGAAGUAAUUUGUUACUGAAAAUACUGUAGAACACAUGUUGGCUUACCUCUCUCCAGCCUCUCCUCUGCCUAGAGGGCAGCAAACGUCUGAAUCUCUUUCUGUCAAGUCAUGCAGGCACAAUCCUUGCUAGGCUGCACAGCCUGUUUCCAAGUUGUGCCUUGUCCUUUAAGUAGCUGGUAAUGUUAACAUUUUGGUAGCUUAAUUUUAGCUUGAGAAUUAAAUAAAGAACAUGCACAAGUGAUAGGUCCAAAUAAAUCCUUUUAUUUCUCUGUAAUAAAUACAGCACUAUCUGAAUUCUGAAGACCCUUGGGUCCAAUAAUUCCUUUCCUACUAGUUCAGAGGUGAAUUA